UUUGUUAAAAAGGCAUAUGCCUAUGAUUAAGGGAAGGUGUUCCCGAAACGCGUAAGGCCUAUGUACCCUUGCAGUACUCUACAAUAAAAACCUGUUUUUUACCGGAGUGCCGUCCUCCUGUUAGUAUAUUACUGUUGGAACACCCGGCACUACAGAGGAGCAGCUAAGUGGUGGUUAUUCUUUCUCUGCUGCAGUUUCUUCCAACUGUAGAUCAAGUUCAUAAUGGAUUCUGUGCAAAGAAGUGCCUCCAUUGUGCAGGAAAUCUCUAAACAUUAAUCACAAAUUUAACAGUUGAUGCUUUAGUUGUGAAGCAACCUUUAGUAAGAAAAUGUGGUGCAGUUCAGCAACUGUAAAUUAUGUCGGUACAUUUUUCAAAAUCAUUUUUAUGUGUAUUGUACUUGGUUAGUUUAUGGCUAGUUUAUGGCUGGGCUGGACCAUGCCCCUUCUCAGUGUUAACAGUCUUGGUCUAUUAGAUCAAGCUGUGAAAAAAAUGGAAGCAGGAAUCAGAGCACAAUAAGAACCCUUGAAGAUGUGGUCAGUGUCAGUGUUUUUAUGGCACAAUGUUUUUAUUUAUAGAACAGUACAUUUGAUAUUGGAAAUGUCAUCUUUUUAUACUUCGUAUUAGGGAAUGUUUCAGAAACUUUUUAUGAUCUUAUUUGGCUAGAACUACGCUUUGUUGUUUCUUUUUAAACAUUAGAUAGAGAGAGAGAGAGAUAUAUAGAGAUAUAUAUAUAUAUAUAUAUAUAUAUAGAGAUAUAUAUAUAUAUAUAUAUAUAUAUAGAGAUAUAUAUAUAUUCCAAUGACCCACCCAACCCCUUUAAAUAUGCUUAAAGCUAUUUCACUUUAUUAAAUGGUUGAGCCUGUGUUCGUUUGGAAAAAAAGUAUUGCAGAUUCUGCCUCUAUUCUAAAUAAUGUAACAUGAGUAAAUGUAUUUUAUACACUUGCUAUAGAUUUCUGAGUCGUUUGUCACUGGCAAAAAAAGACAAAUAAUUGCACCAUCAAUAAGUGAGUCCUAUUCUACUUCAUAAAGUGCCUUCCUCUUGGCCAGCACUUAAUUUAUUCACCAAGGGUAAUGCAAAAUAAGAAUAUUAUUAUACUUAUAAUUUACAGGGCUUGUAAAACUGUGUUUAAUCAUUUAAUCCAGACCCUUGAUAAAGGCCCUAAUGUGGGUCGAAACGUUGGAUGCACAAGUUUGAAAGAUAAAGAUAAUUUUGGUUCACUAACCAAGGAGUGCGGGUCCUCUUGAACUAUACAUUAACACUUUGACCCUGCACCCACGCUUAUGGAAGACUGGUUCAGAGUGCAAGUGUCUGAUUUGUGUGGUGCUUUAUUAUCUGUCACAGUCAAUGUGACAUUUGUAACUAGGGUAAAGAUUUUCAGCUCACUUAUUCAGAAGCAGUUCAUUCCUAACUUUCUGUGGUUCUUAAAUACAUUUAAUUAAAGUACUUGCUUUAGUGUGACUUUCAGUCAAGUUGUAUUAUGUAAACUGGCCCAUACCACAACUGCAUCUUGGUAAUGCAGCUCAAUCUAUUGGACACUGUUAUUGACUUCAUUUCAAACAAAAAAAAAUCAUUGCAAUAGAAAGGUCAAAAACUAAUACAAUGCACAUUGUUAGUUUGUUAUGCUCACUUGCAUAUCAUUUUUUUUUAUUUUGCACUUUUUACUUUUUAUUUAACAAAUAAAAAAUACCUAAAUACUU
Molecule: long non-coding RNA, 1699 nt
Organism: Xenopus laevis (African clawed frog)
Lineage: Eukaryota; Metazoa; Chordata; Amphibia; Anura; Pipidae
Exons: 2
Source: RefSeq, a predicted model, not a curated record